RNAcentral lists this ribosomal RNA (915 nucleotides) under archaeon enrichment culture clone C4-41C-A. RNAcentral describes it as "bacterial SSU rRNA". It matches the Rfam family "Archaeal small subunit ribosomal RNA", at positions 1 to 922 of the family's 1478-position model. The record is from RNAcentral. RNAcentral also lists the same sequence under 1 other name.
UUCCGGUUGAUCCCGCCGGAGGCUACUGCUAUUGGAAUUCGACUAAGCCAUGCGAGUCAAGGUGUCUUCGGACGCCGGCAAACGGCUCAGUAACACGUAGGUAAUCUACCCUCAGGACUGAGAUAACCCCGGGAAACUGGGGCUAAUACCAGAUAGAUAAAAGAUACUGGAAUGUUCUUUUAUCCAAAGCUUUUGUGCCUGAGGAUGAGCCUGCGCCCGAUUAGGUAGUUGGUGGGGUAAUGGCCCACCAAGCCUGCGAUCGGUACGGGCAGUGGGAGCUGUAGCCCGGAGUUGGGGACUGAGACAAGGCCCCAGGCCCUACGGGGCGCAGCAGGCGCGAAACCUCUGCAAUGCGGGAAACCGUGACAGGGGGAUUCCAAGUGCUCAUGCAUUGCAUGGGCUGUUCUUUGGUCUAAGUAACCAGAGGAGUAAGGGCUGGGCAAGACCGGUGCCAGCCGCCGCGGUAAUACCGGCAGCUCGAGUGGUAGCCGCGAUUAUUGGGCCUAAAACGUUCGUAGCCGGAUAAGUAAGUCUUUGGUUAAAUCCUACGACUUAACCGUGGGAAAUCUAGAGAUACUGCUUGUCUUGAGACCGGGAGAGGUUGGAGGUACUCCCAGGGUAGGGGUGAAAUCCUGUAAUCCUGGGGGGACCACCUGUGGCGAAGGCGUCCAACUGGAACGGCUCUGACGGUGAGGGACGAAACCUAGGGGAGCGAGCCGGAUUAGAUACCCGGGUAGUCCUAGGCGUAAAUGAUGCGAGUUAAGUGUGGGGGCAUCUACGAGAUGGCCCUGUGCUGUAGGGUAGCCGUUAAACUCGCUGCCUGGGGAGUACGGUCGCAAGGCUGAAACUUAAAGGAAUUGGCGGGGGAGCACCACAAGAGGUGGAGGCUGCGGUUCAAUUGGAUUCAACGCCGGG